GUGCUCGCUUCACCAGCACAUAUACUAAAAUUGGAACAAUACACAGAAGAUUAGCAUGGCCCCUGCGCAAGGAUGACACGCAAACUCAUGAAGCAUUCCAUAUUAAA
RNAcentral lists this small nuclear RNA (107 nucleotides) under Microcebus murinus (gray mouse lemur). The record is from RNAcentral. Lineage: Eukaryota; Metazoa; Chordata; Mammalia; Primates; Cheirogaleidae.